Molecule: long non-coding RNA, 2080 nt
Organism: Cephus cinctus (wheat stem sawfly)
Lineage: Eukaryota; Metazoa; Arthropoda; Insecta; Hymenoptera; Cephidae
Exons: 3
Source: RefSeq, a predicted model, not a curated record
UUAUGUUUAUUUUUGUUUAUAACGUCUUUCUUUUUUUGUAAAUGGGGUGAUAGCAUUUUUAUUGUACUUGUACACGCAGUGAAUAGCGUACUGCGAUCAUGAGUAAACGUGGAGGUAUUGUAUUUGUAAUCGGCUCCUAUGCACUUUUGUUAUGUUGGUGCGCUUGUACAAUGUCGAUUUUAUAUUCCUGGCCGAUAUCGUGUUACUGAAAUUUCUAUGUCCGUGAUUAAUGCGCCACGCGAGCGCACUAGCUAGGCGUGGGAGGUUCGUGUCUAUUUCGAUAAAAUUUACAGGUGCGUAUAUGCAUACGCGAGGGUAAAUUAGGUGAUAACGAUAAAAAUUAGUAGAUUUAUCUAGGGACAAAUUUGAAAAUUAUAUAAUAACACAGAAGGAUAUAGUUCACUUGAACGCUAGAAUGUUUCUAUUUUUUAUCAAACAAUUUUUAUUUAAAAAUGUGGUAAAACCGAAAAUUAUAAAUCAUCGACACGUGAAACACCUGCUGGACGUAUUUAAUUUUUUGUAAAAAAACAUAUUUCUGCCUGUGUAAUCAGUGACAGGAAGAAUCGAAGAAUCAACGACCGCAGGGACAGUGCAGAAUCAAAGGGAUGAAACGAUAAGCGUUCUAAGACCGAAAAACAACGUUUUGAACGUAGCACGACGAGCCAUGGUCGUCGUCAAUCUGUCCAGGACUUAGUGUUCCAGUAGACGAGGUGGUGAUCGCCCGCAGGUGACUUCCUGCUGGUCGUCGCGACGGCUGCGUCUCCGAGGUUGGCGGAGGUUAUGAGAGAAAGAGAAGAGUCAGCACAGGCGAGAGAGAGAGAGGGCGUCGCGCGCAGGAGAGAAUCGGAUGUCAGCGAGAGAGAAACUGGAACGAGGAACAUGGCGGUGGGGUUAGGUAGGAAGGGGGAUACGAUCAAUAGGGGUAGGUUUUAGCAUGCGCUACUUCAGAAGCCAGACAUGACUCCUUUGUACGAGGACAAGCUAUGAGGAUGUGCCUCUAACAGCUACCCUGGACUACGAAUAGCACGUUUCACCCCGUUGUAACAUACGCCAACGCGUUAAAUUUUCAACAGAUUUCAUUCACAGACCUCCAUUUCAAACCUUAGCCUUACCUUAGGUAUAUUAGCUUUGUAUGUACGUACCUGGAACAUAUUUACUUUUAAAAUUGUGAGUAAUGCGGUACGACGAAGUGACAAAGUUUAUGCGGUCAUUUAUUCUUUAAUUCGUGGUAGCGCAUGACGUAUCUUUUUGGCAGAGUUCAUUUUGCAAUAAGGGGAUUUGGGAUUUACGAGGUAUAGUAAAACGUGACCGGUUUUACUUUCUCAUAAUGGUGCCCUUUAUAGUGGUCUGCUCAUAAGUUUUACAUUAUUUAUGCUCUUAUUUAAUUUAAGUGUAUUUUUAUAUUUAGUUGAUGACGAUGUUCAGAUUAAUCUGUAUAGUUGAGGGGUUUCUAGAUUUAGGUUUUUGUUAUCCUUAUAGUUAAUCCUCGUGUAUCUUUUAGUUCAAGGUUUAAUACACGUCAGUUCGUGCGUGGGUGACGUGGAUGCGUUCCACAUAAGGCACGCAGUAUUUCAGGCGGGAGACCUUUCGUGAUGUCAAAAGGUCAGGUGUCUCUUAACAGCAGACGCAGUGUACUUUCCGAUUGGAUAUGGUACUGGUCUAUUAAGAGGGUUGAGGAAUAGCUAAUAGUUCUAUUUGGAGGAAAAAAUAAAUAGUCGGCUCAGGAAUGCAUAUUUUUGUAAUUUAUUUUUUUUUUGUAGUUUGCAUACAUCACAUUAUAGAAAGAUUCAGUCAAUAAUCAAGAGAUGUUCAGGACAGGUAACAGUUGAAUUAAAUGUUUUUAUGUUUUUAAUGUUAUUUAAACAUUUGCUUUGUUUUAGCACCGUAUCGCGUUGGUUCAACUUCCAACAGGACGUCAUCCUUUGCAUCUGAUUAGAAGUCUUUUUCGCAGACGCUAUAAUGUCUGCAUGACACUCACGUCAUCUAUGGUAAUGUUAAGUAUACGUUAAUUCGAUUGUAAUUGUACUUUGUAAUAAGCAUGCGUAAUAUGUGUAGACGUUAAUAAAGUGGAAUGUGUGAA